RNAcentral lists this ribosomal RNA (951 nucleotides) under Epicoccum sorghinum. RNAcentral's name for it is "partial large subunit ribosomal RNA". It matches the Rfam family "Eukaryotic large subunit ribosomal RNA", at positions 76 to 1048 of the family's 3401-position model. The record is from RNAcentral. Lineage: Eukaryota; Fungi; Ascomycota; Dothideomycetes; Pleosporales; Didymellaceae.
UGCCCUAGUACGGCGAGUGAAGCGGCAACAGCUCAAAUUUGAAAUCUGGCGUCUUUGGCGUCCGAGUUGUAAUUUGCAGAGGGCGCUUUGGCAUUGGCAGCGGUCCAAGUUCCUUGGAACAGGACGUCACAGAGGGUGAGAAUCCCGUACGUGGUCGCUAGCCUUUACCGUGUAAAGCCCCUUCGACGAGUCGAGUUGUUUGGGAAUGCAGCUCUAAAUGGGAGGUAAAUUUCUUCUAAAGCUAAAUACUGGCCAGAGACCGAUAGCGCACAAGUAGAGUGAUCGAAAGAUGAAAAGCACUUUGGAAAGAGAGUUAAAAAGCACGUGAAAUUGUUGAAAGGGAAGCGCUUGCAGCCAGACUUGCCUGUAGUUGCUCAUCCGGGUUUCUACCCGGUGCACUCUUCUACGGGCAGGCCAGCAUCAGUUUGGGCGGUUGGAUAAAGGUCUCUGUCAUGUACCUCCUCUCGGGGAGAACUUAUAGGGGAGACGACAUGCAACCAGCCCGGACUGAGGUCCGCGCAUCUGCUAGGAUGCUGGCGUAAUGGCUGUAAGCGGCCCGUCUUGAAACACGGACCAAGGAGUCUAACAUCUAUGCGAGUGUUUGGGUGUCAAGCCCGAGCGCGUAAUGAAAGUGAACGGAGGUGGGAACCUUUCGGGGUGCACCAUCGACCGAUCCUGAUGUCUUCGGAUGGAUUUGAGUAAGAGCAUAGCUGUUGGGACCCGAAAGAUGGUGAACUAUGCUUGAAUAGGGUGAAGCCAGAGGAAACUCUGGUGGAGGCUCGCAGCGGUUCUGACGUGCAAAUCGAUCGUCAAAUUUGGGCAUAGGGGCGAAAGACUAAUCGAACUAUCUAGUAGCUGGUUCCUGCCGAAGUUUCCCUCAGGAUAGCAGUAACGUUUUCAGUUUUAUGAGGUAAAGCGAAUGAUUAGAGGACUGGGGGAUGAAACAUCCUU